Molecule: long non-coding RNA, 504 nt
Filed under: Brachypodium distachyon (stiff brome)
Lineage: Eukaryota; Viridiplantae; Streptophyta; Magnoliopsida; Poales; Poaceae
Description: long non-coding RNA (BDIS_LNC001890)
Source: RNAcentral
AGCAAGAAGUCGUCGUGGCAUCUGACAGACUCCCUGGGGACAGGGGACGGUGUUGAUUGACAGACAGCAGAGUUAGCACUGGUGUUUCUUUUCCGGCGAAUCUAUGCAUGCUUAAACUUGUCGCUGCAUCGAUGAUCUAUCAACACGACGUUCCUACUUCUAAUCAACACCUGCUCCUAAGUCCCGAGUUCAAAUUAGGACGUGUCUCUCGGUGUCUGUUCGACGCAAGGAUAUUUUUGGAGGGUCGGUGCCAGGAAUUUCGGUGCCGUUUGCACAGGCAAGCAGCAAGCAGCUCAUGGUUUUGUUUACUCUGAAUCUGUGAAAGAGAAAACUAUUUUUUCGUCCCUCAGCUUGUCAGAAAGUUCAUUUCUUGUCCCUAAAAAACAAUUCGUAUUUUUUUCGUCCCUCCGGUUUGUACUUAAUCCCGUAACCGUCGAGACCGUUGAAAUUGCCCGUCGUUGUGCUCUGGAUCUCGUCCAGGCACUGGUUAUACUUCUCCUCCAU